AGGCUACAUAAGAUUUAGAUGCGGGAGGGAGGCAGCGUCGCUUUCUUGGAGAACGGGGUGCUGGAGCUCAACGUGUGAUGGGAGACAGGAGACCCGACGUUUUGCACGGAGUUUGUGCGGUGGGAGGAGGAAGAGAUGCCUCGGGAACCUCUCUGUCCCGACGAUCGGGUCUCACCAGGGGCCUGAUCCACGCAAUCCAUCCCAAAGCGGAGGCUUGGUGUGUGUGUGGAGAGGCAAAGGAUCUGGAAGUGGCCUCUCGACCUCCAGGUUUCAAUUGCAGGAUCCUUUCAAAAACAAAAUUCUGCUCCUUCGCAUCGGCGCCUGUCUCUCUUACCGGAGUUCCCGAAUUCUGGAAAAUUUAAGAUCACAAAAGUACCCCUUGUGGUGUAGUCGUGGGCGGAGUGACAUGAGAGAGCAUGACUUUGGAGAACAGAGUUCAGAUCCCUGCUCAGCCCUGGAAGUUCACUGGGGGAGUGGAGCUGAUAAAAACCGCUCCUUAAAGAUCUCACUUAACCCUGAAAGCCCAGUUAGGAUUGCCAUAAGUCAGUUUUGACUUGAUGGUGCACAACAACAACAAAGCAAAGCAAAAAAUGUGCUGCUUAUAUACCACCCCAUAGUGCUUCAAGCACUCUCUGGGCGGUUUACAAUUUAAUUAUGCAGGCUACACAACAACAAGAUCACAUAAAAAGCUGAAGUUCAGAGAUUCUUUCUGAAUACAUUUUUUAAAAUCAGUUCAGCAUCUGGUGUCUUUUUGAGGAAAAGGCUGCAUUUUCAGUCCGUUGGCCUGAACACUUCUUUAUUACUACACUGGGAUUUGAACUGCUCACCCAUCUAAUCUCUUGGAAAUAAAAGUUGCCAAGGUUGUUCAAGUCAACCUAAAUGUCCCAUGCAAUCCUGCUGCGCCAUGUGGAUGCAUGCUCUUUCAAGCAAAGCCUGGUCUGGAGAACAUAAUUAUUCUACCAGGAAAAUCAUUCCAUAUUUAUUCAAGAGAGCACUAGGCACCACUGGAGCCGGUGCAGAAAUGUCUGAGAGGCCCUUUGUCACUCAUCCAGGAGGCAUGACAACACAAGCAGGCUUUGAAUUCUCUCCUCUUGGCGAUCGUCUGGAAAGAAUGGCAGUCCAGUUUCAUCAGGUAAGGAAGGUAUCUUUGCGGGGCGGGGGGGAAGAUGCAGGGAGAUAGCUUGGCCGCUGGUCUCCAUCUCAGCAAAUUUAUAGCAUUUAUACUUUCAUUUCUGCAGGGUGAGAAGUGAGAGUAUGAGGAAAUGUCUAGAAUUUCACACCCUAAAGGGUGUCGGGGACAUGGCUCCUCAGCCAUUGCUUUUUUCGUUCAUGCUGCGAUGUAGCGUGUACAUCCCCGUAUACGGGGAGUCUGUUUCUGAGCAAAUCCCUGUGUUUCAUUCUGCAGCGGGUGUCCUUCAAGGAGGUGGCAGUGUACUUCACCAAGAGGGAAUGGGACCUCCUGACUCCAGCCCAGAAAUCUCUCUAUAAGGAAGUCAUGCUGGAAAAUUACAGGAUCGUAGCCUCUCUGGGUAAGGAGGACGUUUUUCCCCAGAUUGAUUCAUGCCAAAGAGUUGCUUUUGUUUUUCUGGAUCAUUUCCCUUUGCAAGCAUUGGGGCCCCGUGAGAACAACCCAUCGCUAAGGGCUCUUGGCUUCUGUUAGAUGCCAGAGGGCUCUGUCACUGGCGUGGCUGAUGGUCCUGUUGAAACCUUAGUUGGUGGGUGGAACCAUGGAACGAACGAUGCGGUUGACACUGUCUCUCCCGAGUGACCUCUCUUGCUGGGUAGCUGAUUCCCCCCUAGUGGAGUAGAAGGCAUGAAACAAAUGGGAGGUGGGUGUUAUAGGAAAGAAAACAGUGCAUCCAAUUAAACAAUAGCGACAUUUCCCUUUUUCCUUUGGGCCUAGUGAGAGAGUGCCAGGUAGUGCCUGGGUGGGCAUGGUUGGAAGGGCAGGUUGAAGCCAUCCAAGACUGCAGGAGAAAAGAAGUGUUCUCAACCAGGUCAGUCCAGAUGAUUACAAGGUUGAAGCUGGUAGGGUGCAACCUGACAACAGAAAGAUAAAACGGAUACAGUAGGACCCCCCCCCCGAUCAGCAGGGGAUCCGUUCCAAGUAGAGAUGGGCACGAACCUCAGUUCGUAGGCUCAUGCCGGUUCGUAUGCAGGGCACCGCAGGUGUCACACAU
Molecule: long non-coding RNA, 2180 nt
Organism: Pogona vitticeps (central bearded dragon)
Lineage: Eukaryota; Metazoa; Chordata; Lepidosauria; Squamata; Agamidae
Source: Ensembl